AGUGAACGCUGGCGGUAGGCCUAACACAUGCAAGUCGAACGGCAGCACAGUAAGAGCUUGCUCUUACGGGUGUCGAGUGGCGGACGGGUGAGUAAGACAUCGGAAUCUACUUUUUCGUGGGUGAUAACGUAGGGAAACGUACGCUAAUACCGCAUACGACCUACGGGUGAAAGCAGGGGAUCUUCGGACCUUUCGCGAUUGAAUGAGCCGAUGUCGGAUUAGCUAGUUGGCGGGGUAGAGGGCCACCAAGGCGACGAUCCGUAGCUGGUCUGAGAGGAUGAUCAGCCACACUGGAACUGAGAAUCGGUCCACACUCCUACGGGAGGAAGCAGUGGGGAAUAUUGGACAAUGGGCGAAAGCCUGAUACAGCCAUACCGCGUAGGUGAAGAAGGCCUUAGGGUUGUAAAGCCCUUUUGUUGGGAAAGAAGAACAGCAGUUUAAUACCCCGCUGUUCUGACGGUACCCAAAGAAUAAGCACCGGCUAACUUCGUG
Molecule: ribosomal RNA, 492 nt
Filed under: uncultured bacterium
Lineage: Bacteria
Description: partial 16S ribosomal RNA
Rfam family: Bacterial small subunit ribosomal RNA
Source: RNAcentral